This 251-nucleotide ribosomal RNA is filed under the name uncultured prokaryote. RNAcentral describes it as "partial 16S ribosomal RNA". It matches the Rfam family "Bacterial small subunit ribosomal RNA", at positions 524 to 774 of the family's 1533-position model. The record is from RNAcentral.
UACGGAGGAUGCGAGCGUUAUCCGGAUUUAUUGGGUUUAAAGGGUGCGUAGGCGGAUUGAUAAGUCAGUGGUGAAAUUCUACAGCUUAACUGUAGACUUGCCGUUGAUACUGUUAGUCUUGAGUGUGGUCAAGGCAGGCGUAAUGUGUAAUGUAGCGGUGAAAUGCUUAGAUAUUACACAGAACACCGAUUGCGAAGGCAGCUUGCUGGGUCAUUACUGACGCUGAUGCACGAAAGCGUGGGGAUCAAACA